Non-coding RNA from Lactuca sativa (garden lettuce), 2136 nucleotides. NCBI's taxonomy places the organism in Eukaryota, Viridiplantae, Streptophyta, Magnoliopsida, Asterales, Asteraceae. The record is from RefSeq and is a predicted model, not a curated record.
UCGGGUUUUUAAUUUGAAAAAAUCACCCGAAACCCCUAUUAAGCUACGGGUUAGUUGGGUUCGGGUCAAUCGGGUUUCAGAAUGAUAGAGUCGGUUCAAUUGGGUUGGUCGGGUUGAUACUGGUAAUCCAUUAUGUAAUCUAAUUUUCCUAUUUUCAUAAUCUAUUAGAGAUAAAUAAACAUUACAUUCUUUUUAACUAACUUGGUUGAAUUUAUCAUUCACAUAAGGUUUACUUUUGAAGCAGUUUGUUUAUCAUUAUGGCGGAACAUUUUGAACAUUUUGGGUGCAUGAAUAAUAGAAAGUCCAUGCAAGUGAUUCUAGGAAGAAAGAAAGUGCACAUCUUAUUUAAUUAAACAUUUUGGUGGUAUUACUCAUAUAUCAAUUGCAAAUUAACAAACGAAUUAAAAAUAGUAUCAAACAUGAUGCGUCAAAAGCCAAGAGUGAGGAAAAAAAAGCCAACAGUGAGAAUGUUAUAACAUAAAUUAAUAAGUAUAAUAUAGAUUCACUAGAAAGAUAAAAAAUGAUUUAGUUAAUAGGAUCGUAUUUAUUAAUGAUCUAACAUGGCAUUUCAAGUACUUGAUGAGAUUAAGUAUUAUUAUUCGGGUUAUUCGGGUCAACCCGAACCUGAAAAAAAUGAUAUACAACGAACCCAAACCCGACCCUAAUUAUAGUUCGGGUUUAUCGGGUUAACCCAAAUAACCCGACUAUGAAUUUUUGACCCUAUUAAACUCGACCCAUUUAAGCUUAUUCCGGUUUGGAUCGGAUCGGGUUAGUCAGGUUCGGGUAGUUUUGACACCCCUAAUUAUGAUUUCGCAAAUAAUCAAUCAAAUUAUCUUUAAUCUUUCAAUCAUCAGGUCCAUCCUAUACUCCUCAAAGUUCUUCCUUUGAAAAAAGAUUAUGAGGAAUCCAACCACUAGGUACUUGUAUAAAAUGUUUUCUCGUUAUAUAAAACAUGUAUAAUGAUGGUUUUCUGGUAUUCUAAUAAAAAGAAAGAAAGAAUGUAAUUGACAUUGACUAAUUUCUCAUCAUUCUUUUAUUCGGUUGACCAUUAGGCGUGGUUUGUACUUGCGUUUGUUUCUUGUUCACAGAGAGUGGUGACACACGAGGUGAACUUGAAUUUACAUGAGCAUCUAUUUGAACUACACGUUUGUUUGGAAUUGAUAAGUGAAGAGGUAAGGGAUUAUUGGAGAAGGAUUCUGCUGUAACUUUCCUCUUUGAAGGUAAUAAUGGCUUCUGUUGGCCUACACUAAGUGAUGAGUCUUGAUUGGAAAUAGGUUCCAUUUGAAGAGGUGUUUAUAAUGGCUGAGAUGCAAUGCUGCUCAUGUCUACUGGACUAGAUGAAAAAAGCUAUCCAGCAUACCCCAUUGACUUCCAGGAUUAUAGUCUACAAUAAAAAAAAAAAAGAAUUCAGGGAUAUGAGAAACUUCACUCAGGAAUGCCAUAACACAGGAACAAGAAAGAUUUUGGAGUACAUGGAGUGUAUUAUAACAAGUCAAACGUAUGAAUGAAGCCAAAGCUGGAAGAGUCACAGUAAGGCCGUUGGAUCAGGCUGCCACAACUUGUAAUGUUGAUGAUAGCAAACGUCAAGCAUCACACAUGACUCCCCGUUAGCAAAUGAGAAGUAGCUUGUUGAUCAUUACAGCUCCAAGCAUCCAAAGGAGAAGCCUCCAGCUUGUAAAUGGGGUUUUGUGUUGUCUUUUUUUCUUUUUCAUUUGCAUGAUGAUGAUAUGUCUAGUGUUUCUUUUGCUUUGACAUUUUUAUAACAGUUACUCACUAUUGGAAUAAUAAUUUGUAUUUGAGAUAUUACUGAAAUGAAUUAUCUUUGUUAUUUAUGGUAUUUUAUUUUGUAUUAUGAGAUUUUUAAUGUAUUAUUUAAUUUGAAAAUAAGUAAAUCUAUAAAUAAUAUUUUUUUUAAACAUUUAAAAUUAUGAUACGCAAAAAUGUGUGUCAUCUUCAUUUAUGACAUGACCUUUCUUGACAAGGGCUUUCUUGAUACAUAUUGCGUGUCAUUAACACGCGCGUCGUAAGGUUACGACACGCGAAUGCGUGUCGUCUUCCUUUAUAAUAGGUCCUUCCUUGAUACGCAUUGCGUGUCGUGAACGCACGUCGUAAUUGCGCUUCGUAAAUGCGCGUCCU